AUUAGCUAGUUGGUAAGGUAACGGCUUACCAAGGCGACGAUCAGUAGCCGACCUGAGAGGGUGAUCGGCCACACUGGAACUGAGACACGGUCCAGACUCCUACGGGAGGCAGCAGUGGGGAAUAUUGCACAAUGGGCGCAAGCCUGAUGCAGCAACGCCGCGUGAGUGAAGAAGGCCUUCGGGUCGUAAAACUCUGUCCUAUGGGAAGAAACAAAUGACGGUACCAUGGGAGGAAGCCCCGGCUAACUACGUGCCAGCAGCCGCGGUAAUACGUAGGGGGCAAGCGUUAUCCGGAAUCACUGGGCGUAAAGGGUGCGUAGGUGGCUUAUCAAGCCAGGGGUGAAAGGCAUUGGCUCAACCAAUGUAAGCCUUUGGAACUGAUAGGCUUGAGUGCAGGAGAGGUAAGUGGAAUUCCUAGUGUAGAGGUGAAAUUCGUAGAUAUUAGGAGGAACACCAGUGGCGAAGGCGACUUACUGGACUGUAACUGACACUGAGGCACGAAAGCGUGGGUAGCGAACAGGAUUAGAUACCCUGGUAGUCCACGCCGUAAAC
RNAcentral lists this ribosomal RNA (552 nucleotides) under uncultured bacterium. Its description in RNAcentral is "bacterial SSU rRNA". It matches the Rfam family "Bacterial small subunit ribosomal RNA", at positions 240 to 807 of the family's 1533-position model. The record is from RNAcentral.